Molecule: ribosomal RNA, 521 nt
Filed under: Micrococcus lylae
Lineage: Bacteria; Bacillati; Actinomycetota; Actinomycetes; Micrococcales; Micrococcaceae
Description: bacterial SSU rRNA
Rfam family: Bacterial small subunit ribosomal RNA
Source: RNAcentral
GUGAGUAACCUGCCCUUGACUCUGGGAUAAGCCUUGGAAACGAGGUCUAAUACCGGAUAGGAGCGCCUACCGCAUGGUGGGUGCUGGAAAGAAUUUCGGUCAUGGAUGGACUCGCGGCCUAUCAGCUUGUUGGUGAGGUAAUGGCUCACCAAGGCGACGACGGGUAGCCGGCCUGAGAGGGUGACCGGCCACACUGGGACUGAGACACGGCCCAGACUCCUACGGGAGGCAGCAGUGGGGAAUAUUGCACAAUGGGCGAAAGCCUGAUGCAGCGACGCCGCGUGAGGGAUGACGGCCUUCGGGUUGUAAACCUCUUUCAGUAGGGAAGAAGCGAAAGUGACGGUACCUGCAGAAGAAGCACCGGCUAACUACGUGCCAGCAGCCGCGGUAAUACGUAGGGUGCGAGCGUUAUCCGGAAUUAUUGGGCGUAAAGAGCUCGUAGGCGGUUUGUCGCGUCUGUCGUGAAAGUCCGGGGCUUAACCCCGGAUCUGCGGUGGGUACGGGCAGACUAGAGUGCAGUA